GAUGCUCCUCCCCACCUCCACCUCUUCCUAGGGCUCCCGCCUUCUCCAGGUCCAGAAAGAACCCCAAGCCCCGUCCAUCGGGACACGCCCCCAGCCCCCACUCCCGCGCGUCUUUUAACCCCUUCCCCGCCGCAACCAUGUCCAACAACAUGGCCAAGAUUGCCGAGGCCCGCAAGACGGUGGAACAGCUGAAGCUGGAGGUGAACAUCGACCGCAUGAAGGUGCUGGGUCGGGGUGGGGAAUAGGGCGGGGGUUCUGGGCCUGCGGUCUGUCCGGGGCUGUGUCGGCCCGGCUCGGAGCCAUAGUGCAAGGAUGCCCCUGGGAACAGGGCUGGGCAAGGGGCGGGGCAGGGCAGGAGGAGGGGCCAGGACGAGGGGAGGGGCAGAACAGGGGAGGGGCCAGGACGAGGGGAGGGAUGGGGCAGGGGAGGGGCCAGGACGAGGGGCGGGGUAGGACAGGGGAGGGGCCAGGACGAGGGGGCGGAGUAAGACAAGGGGAAAGGCCUGUAUGGGGCGGGGCAAGGUGGGAGGAGGGGACAGGGCAAGAGGCGGGGCCUAAGUGGGCGGCUCCAAGGAGCCGGGCAGGGCGGUGACAUCUCCACCCGGGUGCUCGCAGGUGUCGCAGGCAGCAGCGGAACUCCUGGCUUUCUGCGAGACGCAUGCCAAAGAUGACCCGCUGGUGACGCCAGUACCCGCCGCGGAGAACCCCUUCCGCGACAAGCGCCUCUUUUGUGUUCUGCUCUGAGCCCUCCGGACAGCUUACCCUCCCCUGCCAAAGUAUGGAUCCAAUAAACUUGGUAACUGUGGUGGUGCCUGUGCUUUCAGGGAGACUGAGGCACGCACAGAGCUUGGGGCCACCGUAGGGGA
RNAcentral lists this long non-coding RNA (866 nucleotides) under Homo sapiens (human). RNAcentral describes it as "HSALNT0260873". The record is from RNAcentral. Lineage: Eukaryota; Metazoa; Chordata; Mammalia; Primates; Hominidae.